RNAcentral lists this ribosomal RNA (803 nucleotides) under uncultured Paracoccaceae bacterium. Its description in RNAcentral is "bacterial SSU rRNA". It matches the Rfam family "Bacterial small subunit ribosomal RNA", at positions 33 to 885 of the family's 1533-position model. The record is from RNAcentral. Lineage: Bacteria; Pseudomonadati; Pseudomonadota; Alphaproteobacteria; Rhodobacterales; Paracoccaceae.
ACGCUGGCGGCAGGCCUAACACAUGCAAGUCGAGCGCGCCUUCGGGCGAGCGGCGGACGGGUUAGUAACGCGUGGGAACGUGCCCAGAUCUACGGAAUAGCCACUGGAAACGGUGAGUAAUACCGUAUACGCCCUUCGGGGGAAAGAUUUAUCGGAUUUGGAUCGGCCCGCGUUAGAUUAGGUAGUUGGUGGGGUAACGGCCUACCAAGCCUACGAUCUAUAGCUGGUUUUAGAGGAUGAUCAGCAACACUGGGACUGAGACACGGCCCAGACUCCUACGGGAGGCAGCAGUGGGGAAUCUUGGACAAUGGGGGCAACCCUGAUCCAGCCAUGCCGCGUGAGUGAAGAAGGCCCUAGGGUCGUAAAACUCUUUCGCCUGUGAUGAUAAUGACAGUAGCAGGUAAAGAAACCCCGGCUAACUCCGUGCCAGCAGCCGCGGUAAUACGGAGGGGGUUAGCGUUGUUCGGAAUUACUGGGCGUAAAGCGCACGUAGGCGGAUUAGAAAGUUAGAGGUGAAAUCCCGGGGCUCAACCCCGGAACUGCCUUUAAAACUACUAGUCUAGAGUUCGAGAGAGGUGAGUGGAAUUCCGAGUGUAGAGGUGAAAUUCGUAGAUAUUCGGAGGAACACCAGUGGCGAAGGCGGCUCACUGGCUCGAUACUGACGCUGAGGUGCGAAAGUGUGGGGAGCAAACAGGAUUAGAUACCCUGGUAGUCCACACCGUAAACGAUGAAUGCCAGUCGUCGGAUAGUAUACUAUUCGGUGACACACCUAACGGAUUAAGCAUUCCGCCUGGGGAGUACGG